UCUUCAUUCCUCGUACUCUCUCACCGGUCAGAGUGACGAGAGAGAGAGUGUGAGAAAUGAAGAGA
Molecule: microRNA precursor, 65 nt
Filed under: Pristionchus pacificus
Lineage: Eukaryota; Metazoa; Nematoda; Chromadorea; Rhabditida; Neodiplogasteridae
Description: mir-8364 microRNA precursor family
Rfam family: mir-8364 microRNA precursor family
Source: Rfam by way of RNAcentral